This 590-nucleotide ribosomal RNA is filed under the name uncultured bacterium. RNAcentral describes it as "bacterial SSU rRNA". It matches the Rfam family "Bacterial small subunit ribosomal RNA", at positions 332 to 922 of the family's 1533-position model. The record is from RNAcentral.
GCCCUUCCUACGGGAGGCAGCAGGGAGGAAUAUUGGUCAAUGGGCGGAAGCCUGAACCAGCCAUGCCGCGUGCGGGAAGAAGGCGCUACGCGUCGUAAACCGCUUUUGUCCGGGGGUAACCGCGGGGACGUGUCCCCGCCUGCAAGUACCGGACGAAUAAGGGUCGGCUAACUCCGUGCCAGCAGCCGCGGUAAUACGGAGGACCCGAGCGUUAUCCGGAUUCAUUGGGUUUAAAGGGUGCGUAGGCGGCCCGGUAAGUCAGCGGUGAAAGGCUCCUGCUCCACAGGAGAGCUGCCGUUGAUACUGCUGGGCUAGAAUCUAAGCGAGGCGGGCGGAAUGCGCGGUGUAGCGGUGAAAUGCAUAGAUGUCGCGCAGAACGCCGAUUGGGGAGCCAGCUCGCCAGCUGAGUAUUGACGCUGAGGCACGAAAGCGUGGGGAUCGAACAGGAUUAGAUACCCUGGUAGUCCACGCCGUAAACGAUGAUGGCUCGCUCUUGGUUCGCAAGGAUCAGGGGCUUAGUGAAAGCGUUAAGCCAUCCACCUGGGGAGUACGCCGGCAACGGUGAAACUCAAAGGAAUUGACGGAAGGGC